Molecule: ribosomal RNA, 406 nt
Filed under: uncultured bacterium
Lineage: Bacteria
Description: partial 16S ribosomal RNA
Rfam family: Bacterial small subunit ribosomal RNA
Source: RNAcentral
AUUGAACGCUGGCGGCAGGCCUAACACAUGCAAGUCGAACGAGUGGCGGACGGGUGAGUGAUGUCUGGGAAACUGCCUGAUUGAGGGGGAUAACUCCUGGAAACGGUAGCUAAUACCGCAUACCCUCAGAUGUGCCCAGAUGGGAUUAGCUUGUUGGUGGGUUAACGGCUCACCAAGGCGACGAUCCCUAGCUGGUCUGAGAGGAUGACCAGCCAACCUGGAACGGAGACACGGUCCAGACUCCUACGGGAGGCAGCAGUGGGGACUAUGGCACAAUGGGCGCGAGCCUGAUACAGCCAUGCCGCGUGUAUGAAGAAGGCCUUAGGGUUGUAAAGUACUUUCAGCGGGGAGGCGGUACCCGAAGAAGAAGCCCCGGCUAACUCCGUGCCAGCAGCCGCGGUAAUAC